Molecule: long non-coding RNA, 776 nt
Filed under: Mus musculus (house mouse)
Lineage: Eukaryota; Metazoa; Chordata; Mammalia; Rodentia; Muridae
Description: Mir99a and Mirlet7c-1 host gene
Source: RNAcentral
AGAUCGUGGACGGGGCCUCUGGGUGGCAGCUCCGGCCUUUUGGUUGUUGGACAACUAUAGUCAGAACUGAAAUGGAACAGGGGCAGGAGAAAUAACACACUUUUACUCCACGCAACUGUUGCUUUCACAUGAUCUUCAGGAAUGUAACUGGGAUAAUUGUCCAAAUUGAAUCCCAUACCCUGUCAUGGUACUGAUUAUUAAGGUGACUAUAUGAAAGGAUCACUCCAAAAUAACACAUACCAGAAUAGGAGUCCUGUCUUAACUGAGCAAUAUACACUAUGGAGAGAUCCUUCAAAACCCGUCGGGACGAAUAACAGAUGAAUUCAUAAAACUGUUCAUCUCUGUUAUCCUGAAUGGUCACUCAGACAACAUUUUACUCAACUAUAAAGGGGAACACUUAAAGUGCAUAUGAGAAGAGAAGAGAAUGACCACAGGAGAAAAUCAUCUCAGCUUUCUCCACCCAGGGCAAAGGCAACAACAACAAACGUCCUAUACUCAAGCCGACUGACCUCAUCUCGUUCCACCCCACCUCAUCCAAUCAGAAAUCUCACACGCUCCAGGCCACGAUUUCCUAACCAGAAUCUGUAAGAGAGAUUCCAAGAACUUGGGAGAAGCAUAUUGUGUGAUGUUCUAUAUUUAUGAGACCCAUAGCAAACUGUGAAGAGAUAACAGAAUGCUUUUUGCGUGAGCUGAAACAGUAGAUGAAAUCUUUCAUUAAAAUUACUCAUACUUUGGGUCCUAUUCUUAUUUAUAAAUAAAUAUUAUUGCAAACAUUU